UGCCAAGUCUAGCUCUAAUGAUGC
This 24-nucleotide non-coding RNA is filed under the name Arabidopsis thaliana (thale cress). Lineage: Eukaryota; Viridiplantae; Streptophyta; Magnoliopsida; Brassicales; Brassicaceae. The record is from RNAcentral.